Molecule: ribosomal RNA, 424 nt
Filed under: Fusobacteriota bacterium
Lineage: Bacteria; Fusobacteriati; Fusobacteriota
Description: Fusobacteria bacterium partial 16S ribosomal RNA
Rfam family: Bacterial small subunit ribosomal RNA
Source: RNAcentral
UGAGGAAUAUUGGUCAAUGGGCGCUAGCCUGCACCAGCCAAGUAGCGUGAAGGAUGAAGGCUCUAUGGGUCGUAAACUUCUCUUAUAUAAGAAUAAAGUGCAGUAUGUAUACUGUCUUGUAUGUAUUAUAUGAAUAAGGAUCGGCUAACUCCGUGCCAGCAGCCGCGGUAAUACGGAGGAUCCGAGCGUUAUCCGGAUUUAUUGGGUUUAAAGGGAGCGUAGGUGGACUGGUAAGUCAGUUGUGAAAGUUUGCGGCUCAACCGUAAAGUUGCAGUUGAUACUGUCAGUCUUGAGUACAGUAGAGGUGGGCGGAAUUCGUGGUGUAGCGGUGAAAUGCUUAGAUAUCACGAAGAACUCCGAUUACGAAGGCAGCUCACUGGACUGCAACUGACACUGAUGCAAGAAAGUGUGGGUAUCAAACAGG